RNAcentral lists this long non-coding RNA (607 nucleotides) under Mytilus galloprovincialis (Mediterranean mussel). The record is from RNAcentral. Lineage: Eukaryota; Metazoa; Mollusca; Bivalvia; Mytilida; Mytilidae.
GGUUGGCCAUGAAAAAAAACUUUCUUGAUUUUAAUUGACUGGAAUGAUUGUCAUUUUAUUAUAUUUAAUACAAUUGUACUGUCAGACACUUGUGUUCAAUGAAUAUUUUACACGUGUAUCUCUUAUUUGAUCUUUUGUUCGUACUUUUCACUCUAGUAAACUUUCUCAUACGUGUGACUGAUUAUUUUUGCCAAAUUUCAGAAAAAUAUAAGAAUGGUAUUAUAGAUAGUGAAUGUGAACAACUGAAAUAAUCUUCAAUAUUAAAUUCCGACAUAUUGAAUAAGUAAACACAAGUUACAAUGUAGUUGAUUAUCCAUCUUCUAUUGCACUAUAUAUUUUCCUUUGGUCUUUCGCGUUCGUGUUUAUAGCUCUAUAUUAUAUAUAUUAUUUGCAUGCCCUGAAAGAUUUUGCAUGCAUACGAAUACAACAAAUGGAAGUGUUUAACGACCUUGACUUGCCAUACAGCCCUCGCACGGUCGGCUCGGUGCCCGAAGGCGUUUGGUGAGCGUUUCAAUAAUUUUGUGCCAUCGGUCAGGAACGAGUGGUGGUCGCCAUUUUGGAGGUCGCCAUCUUGGUUUUGUGAGCUGUUUUCAUUUGGUAUGUUGAC